Molecule: long non-coding RNA, 1366 nt
Organism: Ochotona princeps (American pika)
Lineage: Eukaryota; Metazoa; Chordata; Mammalia; Lagomorpha; Ochotonidae
Exons: 2
Source: RefSeq, a predicted model, not a curated record
UGUUCAGGAUUGAUGAUUCCAAUCUCCGUCGGCUGGCCCAAUACCUUGAAUUCACUUCACAGAGACGUUUUGCAGUCCCUUCCAGGAAGCCUGCUUUUAGCUUCCCAGCACUGCCGAAACUCUCCCGGCUCCUCAGCAGUGGCUCCUCUGCUUUUCGUGAUGGAGAGUCUCUGGGCAGGAAUGCUGGAAGCCCCACGUGCCCAGGAGCGACACCUGGGCUGAUGAUGAGCAGGCUAUGCAUGGUAUUACAAGCUCCUCGGAAUGGUUCCACUACUGCUCGGACUGGUAACACAUUGAAGCACUUUAUAAACUUUGUAGCUCCUCCACAAUUUUGAAUCACUUUAAAGUGCUCAUGCUCCAAUCCGUGAAGUCUUCCUUAAGGGUCUGUGGCAUUAGGUGUUCAGGUAAAGAUGUAUGAUGCAGUUGUUUCAAGCAUAUUUAUGGCUGAGUCUUCUUAGGUCCAAUAAGGAGACAAUCCAGUGAGAGCAGAAAAAUCCUUCUGUAGAGGGAUAUUUGGUUUUGAGUCUCUGCAGUUAAACAACAUCAGGAGAGGAUACAUGCCAAUCCACGCAGGAUGUGAUAGUUCGUGGCUACUUGGAUGCUGCUUUCUAUGCGGUGGGUCAGUGUUGCCCGUUGCACCUGUGCCGACUGGUCGUGCUGAGGAUCUGGAGUCCAUUGCUGAUCUUCUUCUCCAUUGUGGUACCCGCUCACUGCUCAGUGGAGCAGUGCUCACGCCAGCUCAUCACUUAGGAUGAGUAUAAGGCCAACGUCCAUAAACAAUGCUUAUUAUGUAAAUAUUGCUCAGAGAUAAAACAUUUUAUAAUAUUCUAGCAAUAAAGGUAUCAAAAAUAUUAAUAAUGAGAAAAGAUACUAUAGAGAAAAAUAGGUGUUAAGAAUAACGGUAUGCUGUAAAAGAUUUUUCAAACAUUCCAGCAAUACAGGUAUCAAAAAUAUUAAUAAUGAGAAAAGAUACCAUAUGUAAAAUAGGUGUUAAGAAUAACAUUAUGCUGGACUUUAUAGGUCUCUCCAUCUUCUCCUUAGACACUUCCUCACUUCUCUUUAAAAAAAAAAGGUAAAUCUGAAAAAAAUAGAUAAACCUUAAAAGUAAAUUAAUGCAAAAAUGAAAAUUCCAAGAAGAAAAUAGAAAAUGCAAAAUGGAACACAAGAAAAAUGGAAAUUAAAAGUUUUAAAAAUGUAAACAAAUAAAAUGAUGGAAAUAAAAAAUAAGUGACAAACAGAAUUUCAAAAAUUUUGAGAAGGAAUGAGGAUGUGUCUAAGGAAAAGAAAUACACACUGCGAAAAACAAACUGAAAUUAAGAGGGAAGAACAAAAUUAAUAACAUAGAGAAGAGAACAAACGAACAAAA